ACUGGCACUUAUCGAAGCCACUUCAGUUCUUCCUGUAGCUGACGUGGUCAAAAAGGAGCCUAUAGCAACACUUUCUACGACGGUCGCUGCUCCGUUUCUAAGUAACGGAGAAGCAACAUUACGAGGAAGGACAAUU
This is a small nucleolar RNA of Polyodon spathula (Mississippi paddlefish), 136 nucleotides long. The record is from RefSeq and is a predicted model, not a curated record. Lineage: Eukaryota; Metazoa; Chordata; Actinopteri; Acipenseriformes; Polyodontidae.